Molecule: ribosomal RNA, 484 nt
Filed under: uncultured bacterium
Lineage: Bacteria
Description: partial 16S ribosomal RNA
Rfam family: Bacterial small subunit ribosomal RNA
Source: RNAcentral
AUUGAACGCUGGCGGCAGGCCUAACACAUGCAAGUCGAGCGGAUGAAGGGAGCUUGCUCCUGGAUUCAGCGGCGGACGGGUGAGUAAUGCCUAGGAAUCUGCCUGGUAUUGGGGGAUAACGUCCGGAAACGGGCGCUAAUACCGCAUACGUCCUGAGGGAGAAAGUGGGGGAUCUUCGGACCUCACGCUAUCAGAUGAGCCUAGGUCGGAUUAGCUAGUUGGUGGGGUAAAGGCCUACCAAGGCGACGAUCCGUAACUGGUCUGAGAGGAUGAUCAGUCACACUGGAACUGAGACACGGUCCAGACUCCUACGGGAGGCAGCAGUGGGGAAUAUUGGACAAUGGGCGAAAGCCUGAUCCAGCCAUGCCGCGUGUGUGAAGAAGGUCUUCGGAUUGUAAAGCACUUUAAGUUGGGAGGAAGGGCAGUAAGUUAAUACCUUGCUGUCUUGACGUUACCAACAGAAUAAGCACCGGCUAACUUCGUG